AGUAAAUAUGGGAAUAUAACUAUCUCUUUGAUAUAAUGAUACCCAUUCUUUUGGUUAUGUACCCAACAGUGGGAUUGCUGGAUUAUAUGGUAGCUCUAUUGUUAGUUUUUUGAAGAAUCUCCAAAAUUUUCUCCAUAAUGUCUUUACUAAUUUACAUUCCCACUAAGAGUAUAUGAGGGUUUGUUCCC
Long non-coding RNA from Sapajus apella (tufted capuchin), 188 nucleotides. RefSeq lists it as uncharacterized. The record is from RefSeq and is a predicted model, not a curated record. Lineage: Eukaryota; Metazoa; Chordata; Mammalia; Primates; Cebidae. The transcript has 3 exons.